AAUCAACGCUGGCGGCGUGCCUCAGACAUGCAAGUCGAACGAUUAAAGCUCUCUUCGGAGAGUGCAUAGAGUGGCGCACGGGUGAGUAACACGUAAGUAAUCUACCUUCGAGUGGGGAAUACCGUCCGGAAACGGACGCUAAUACCGCAUAAUGCAGCGGCAUCGCAAGAUGACAGUUGUUAAAGAUUUAUCGCUUGAAGAGGAGCUUGCGGCGGAUUAGCUAGUUGGUAAGGUAAUGGCUUACCAAGGCUACGAUCUGUAACCGGUCUAAGAGGACGGUCGGUCACACUGACACUGAAUAACGGGUCAGACUCCUACGGGAGGCAGC
RNAcentral lists this ribosomal RNA (328 nucleotides) under uncultured bacterium. Its description in RNAcentral is "bacterial SSU rRNA". It matches the Rfam family "Bacterial small subunit ribosomal RNA", at positions 32 to 352 of the family's 1533-position model. The record is from RNAcentral.